AUGUUCCCUUUGGCAACAUAUAUACUAAAAUUGGAAUGAUAGAGAGAAGAUUAGCAUAGCACCUGCACAAGUUGGCUUGGGGUGGUGGGAAGGCUCCACAUUACA
Molecule: small nuclear RNA, 105 nt
Filed under: Merops nubicus (carmine bee-eater)
Lineage: Eukaryota; Metazoa; Chordata; Aves; Coraciiformes; Meropidae
Source: RNAcentral